UGGGAUGUAGUUCAGCUGGUAUAGUGCUUGCCUAGCAUGCAUGAGGCCCUGGGUUCAGUGCCCAGGAUCUCAA
This 73-nucleotide transfer RNA is filed under the name Mus musculus (house mouse). It matches the Rfam family "tRNA". Rfam says of the family: Transfer RNA (tRNA) molecules are approximately 80 nucleotides in length. Their secondary structure includes four short double-helical elements and three loops (D, anti-codon, and T loops). Further hydrogen bonds mediate the characteristic L-shaped molecular structure. tRNAs have two regions of fundamental functional importance: the anti-codon, which is responsible for specific mRNA codon recognition, and the 3' end, to which the tRNAs corresponding amino acid is attached (by aminoacyl-tRNA synthetases). tRNAs cope with the degeneracy of the genetic code in two manners: having more than one tRNA (with a specific anti-codon) for a particular amino acid; and 'wobble' base-pairing, i.e. permitting non-standard base-pairing at the 3rd anti-codon position. RNAcentral also lists the same sequence under 1 other name. The record is from Rfam by way of RNAcentral. Lineage: Eukaryota; Metazoa; Chordata; Mammalia; Rodentia; Muridae.